This 275-nucleotide long non-coding RNA is filed under the name Salvia miltiorrhiza (redroot sage). Its description in RNAcentral is "long non-coding RNA (SMIL_LNC010574)". Lineage: Eukaryota; Viridiplantae; Streptophyta; Magnoliopsida; Lamiales; Lamiaceae. The record is from RNAcentral.
GAAAUCUAUAUUAUAUAUAAAGCAGCAGUUGUAACGGAUAGAAAUUCCCGGCAAUUUUUAACAGUUAUUUUUCCAAAGUUUUAGCUAUAUUUGAAAGAUCGUGUAUGAAGCAAAAAUUCAGCUUUUUUUUCUCCUACAUUUCGAAUCAACAAUAGUGCAGUUUGUAUCCAAAAUCAAACACAUUUGAAAACACACAAAUUACAUAAACAUGAAUUUCAGCAAUAAUCCAGCAACUACACCAACAAAUUUAUCUUAAAUAAGAAAUUUUCAAAAUC